GGGGACGUAGCUCAGAUGGUAGAGCGCUCGCUUAACAUGCGAGAGGUACGGGGAUCGAUACGUUGCAUCUCUA
Transfer RNA from Ipomoea nil (Japanese morning glory), 73 nucleotides. It matches the Rfam family "tRNA". From Rfam's summary of the family: Transfer RNA (tRNA) molecules are approximately 80 nucleotides in length. Their secondary structure includes four short double-helical elements and three loops (D, anti-codon, and T loops). NCBI's taxonomy places the organism in Eukaryota, Viridiplantae, Streptophyta, Magnoliopsida, Solanales, Convolvulaceae. The record is from Rfam.